AUUGAACGCUGGCGGCAUGCUUUACACAUGCAAGUCGAACGGUAACAGGGAGCUUGCUCCGCUGACGAGUGGCGAACGGGUGAGUAAUAUAUCGGAACGUACCCAGAAGUGGGGGAUAACGUAGCGAAAGUUACGCUAAUACCGCAUACGAUCUACGGAUGAAAGUAGGGGACCUUCGGGCCUUAUGCUUUUGGAGCGGCCGAUAUCUGAUUAGCUAGUUGGUGAGGUAAAGGCUCACCAAGGCGACGAUCAGUAGCUGGUCUGAGAGGACGACCAGCCACACUGGAACUGAGACACGGUCCAGACUCCUACGGGAGGCAGCAGUGGGGAAUUUUGGACAAUGGGCGCAAGCCUGAUCCAGCAAUGCCGCGUGAGUGAAGAAGGCCUUCGGGUUGUAAAGCUCUUUUGUCAGGGAAGAAACGGCUGUGGCUAAUAUCCACGGCUAAUGACGGUACCUGAAGAAUAAGCACCGGCUAACUACGUGCCAGCCGCCGCGGUAA
This 500-nucleotide ribosomal RNA is filed under the name uncultured bacterium. RNAcentral describes it as "partial 16S ribosomal RNA". It matches the Rfam family "Bacterial small subunit ribosomal RNA", at positions 30 to 523 of the family's 1533-position model. The record is from RNAcentral.